UUAACUUGCUUCUGCGUUACAUGUACUAAAAUGGGAACGAUACAGAGAUAAUUGGCAUGGUCCCUACGCAAGGCUGACACGGGACAGAGUGAAGAGUUUCACAUUUUU
Molecule: small nuclear RNA, 108 nt
Organism: Cryptotermes secundus
Lineage: Eukaryota; Metazoa; Arthropoda; Insecta; Blattodea; Kalotermitidae
Source: RefSeq, a predicted model, not a curated record